RNAcentral lists this ribosomal RNA (3321 nucleotides) under Triticum aestivum (bread wheat). RNAcentral's name for it is "partial small subunit ribosomal RNA". Lineage: Eukaryota; Viridiplantae; Streptophyta; Magnoliopsida; Poales; Poaceae. The record is from RNAcentral.
UUGACCAGAGAAAAUCCUGUUGAGCUGCUACAACGUUAUCGCCGUGAUCGCCAUGUGUUGCUCAAUUACAUCCUUUCUGGUAACUUGAUCAAGAAAGUUGUAAUGCCGCCUGGUGCUAUCUCUCUGGAUGACGUGGAUAUUGAUCAAGUCAGUGUUGAUUAUGUCCUCAAUUGCGCUAAGAAAGGGGAUCCACUUGACCUUGGAGAUGCCAUCCGGCUUUAUCAUGACAGCCUUGAUUACCCAUAUGUCGAUAACACUGGAGAUGUCGAAGGGUUCUAUUUACUUACAAGACCUGAAUAUUCUGGAUCAGCACCAACAAGAGAACCACCCCCUGUCCCUGCCACUGCACCAUUACCAGUUGUGGUACCACCACCAGUUGUUGAACAACCACAAAUUGCUGUGCCAUCAUCAGUUGCAAACUUACCAAAAUCAUUAUCAUUGGACUCUCCCACCGAGGAAUUAACCAUAGAUGACAUUGAAGACUUUGAGGAUGAUGAAGGUGAAUUCGAUAGUCGAAGGGCUUCUAGGAGGCAUCAAACUGAUGCCAACGAUAUAUCCUUGCGCUUACCAUUAUUUGAAACAGGUAUCACAGAUGAUGAUCUUCGUGAAACAGCAUAUGAAAUCCUUGUUGCUGCUGCUGGCGCUUCAGGGGGCCUUAUAGUUCCAAAGAAAGAAAAGAAGAAAGAGAAGAGACACAGAUUAAUGAGGAAACUUGGCCGUAGUAAGAGUGAAAGUGCUGAAUCGCAAACUCACCGGCAACCAGGUUUAGUUGGCCUGCUUGAAAUCUUGAGAGCCCAACUUGAGAUAACGGAGUCCAUGGAUAUUAGGACUAGACAGGGACUACUUAAUGCUAUGGUGGGUAAAGUCGGAAAACGGAUGGACAAUCUCUUGAUACCACUGGAACUACUGUGCUGUAUAUCUAGAGCUGAAUUUUCUGACAUGAAGGCAUAUCUUCGUUGGCAGAAAAGACAGCUGAACAUGCUGGAGGAGGGCCUAAUAAACCAUCCUGUUGUUGGAUUUGGAGAGUUAGGUCGAAAAGUCAAUGAGCUAAGAAAUCUUUUCAGAAAGAUUGAAGAAUCUGAGUCGCUAUCCCCAUCUGCUGCGGAGGUUCAACGUACAGAAUGCCUACGUUCACUGAGAGAAGUUGCUACAUCUUUCUCUGAAAGGCCUGCUCGUGGCGAUCUUACCGGUGAGGUUUGUCAUUGGGCUGAUGGUUACCAUCUGAAUGCCGCCUUGUAUGAAAAAAUGCUUGGCAGUGUUUUUGACACCUUAGAUGAGGGAAAACUCACAGAGGAGGUGGAAGAAAUCCUUGAGCUCCUAAAGUCCACUUGGCGUAUACUAGGAAUCACAGAGACAAUUCAUGAUACGUGCUAUGCAUGGGUAUUAUUCCGACAGUUUGUUUUUACAGGUGAGCAAGGACUCCUGAAAGUUGUGAUUGAGCAUUUGAGGAAGAUACCCUUGAAGGAACAGCGUGGUCCACAAGAACGCUUACACUUGAAAAGUCUACGUAGUUCUGUUGAUGCCGAUGAUAGCUGCCAGGACUUUACGUUUUUCCAGUCUUUCCUGUCUCCAGUUCAGAAAUGGGUGGACAAGAAAUUGAAUGAUUAUCAUCUGCACUUCUCAGAGGGUCCCAGUAUGAUGGUUGAUAUCGUAACAGUAGCAAUGCUUACUAGGCGAAUCCUUGGUGAAGAAAAUGACAAGGCAAUGGAGUCACCUGAUCGAGACCAGAUUGACCGUUACAUCACUUCUUCUGUCAAAAGUGCUUUCAUGAAGAUUGCACAUUUCGUAGAGAUUAAAGCAGACACAUCACAUGAGCAUGUUUUAGCAUCUCUAGCUGAGGAGACGAAGAAGCUUUUGAAGAUAGAGACAAACAUUUUUUCCCCAGUUUUGUCAAGAUGGCAUCCACAGGCAGCAGUUCUUUCCGCUUCCCUUCUCCAUAAACUGUAUGGAAACAAAUUGGGACCUUUUCUUGAGCAUUCUGAGCAUCUUACGGAGGACGUAGUUUCUGUAUUUCCGGCAGCUGAUUCUUUGGAGCAGUACAUAAUGUCAGUGAUGGCUUCUGUUGUGGGUGACGAUGGUUUGGACAGUCUAUGUAGACAAAAGCUAGUUCCUUAUGAGAUUGAAAGUAAAUCGGGCACGGUUGUUUUACGCUGGGUGAAUGGGCAACUGGAGAGAGUUGAAACUUGGGUUAAAAGGGCUGCUGAACAAGAGACUUGGGAUCCUAUAUCCCCUCAACAACGCCAUGGGGGUUCUAUUGUUGAAGUCUAUAGAAUCAUAGAAGAGACUGCAGAUCAGUUUUUUGCAUUCAAGGUUCCUAUGCGAAUUGGGGAAUUAAAUAGCUUCUGUCGUGGCAUUGACAAGGCAUUUCAAAUUUAUACACAACUUGUUACUCAACCCAUAGUUGACAAAGAAGAUUUAGUUCCACCUGUUCCUGUCCUUACUCGAUAUAAAAAGGAGCUUGGAAUCAAAGCUUUCGUAAAAAAGGAAAUCCAAGAAGUCAGACCUGUUGAUGAGAGAAAAUCGAGUGAAAUAGUUCAACUUACAAUGUCAAAGCUAUGUGUGCGGCUUAACAGUCUAUAUUAUGCUAUAAGCCAGCUAGGCAAGUUGGAGGACAGCAUAAGUGAGCGGUGGGCUAAAAGGCAAAGUGACAAAAUUAACAUCAGACGAUCAAUGAACGGCAAGUCAAAGGGUGUAGUCUCCAAUCAGAAGAAUCAAUUUGAUGGCAGUAGAAAAGAAAUCAAUGCUGCUAUUGAUCGGGUAUGUGAAUUUACAGGGUUAAAGGUCAUAUUUUGGGACCUCCAACAGCCAUUCAUCGACAAUAUGUACAAAAACAAUGUUUUACAAGCUCGAUUGGACACUAUUGUCGAAGUGCUUGAUUUGGUGCUUGCUCAACUCUGUGACGUCAUUGUGGAGCAACUGCGAGAUCGUGUGGUUACAGGGCUUCUGCAAGCAUCCCUGGAUGGCUUAGUUCGGGUAAUACUAGAUGGAGGUCCUACACGCGUCUUCUCUCCGAAUGAUGCCCCUCUUUUGGAGGAAGAUCUUGAAAUUCUGAAGGAAUUCUUCAUAUCUGGUGGAGAUGGGCUGCCUCGUGGAACUGUUGAGAAUUUGGUCUCGCGUGUUCGUCCUGUAAUAAAUCUGAUCAAGCAAGAGACCCGUGUGCUUAUUGAUGAUCUGCGCGAAGUUACUCAAGGGGGCAAAAGCAAAUUCGGAAGCGACUCCAAAACCCUGCUGAGGGUCCUGUGCCACAGAAAUGAUUCAGAGGCAUCACACUAUGUGAAGAAGCAUUUCAAGAUACCCAGUUCAGCUCCCCCGAGCACCUGA